This 334-nucleotide unclassified non-coding RNA is filed under the name soil metagenome. RNAcentral's name for it is "partial contains 5.8S ribosomal RNA, internal transcribed spacer 2, and large subunit ribosomal RNA". The stretch from base 1 to 120 matches the Rfam family "5.8S ribosomal RNA", at positions 35 to 154 of the family's 154-position model. The record is from RNAcentral.
GAUGAAGAACGUAGCGAAAUGCGAUAAGUAAUGUGAAUUGCAGAAUUCAGUGAAUCAUCGAAUCUUUGAACGCACAUUGCGCCCCCCAGUAUUCUGGCGGGCAUGCCUGUUCGAGCGUCAUUUCAACCAUCAAGCCCUGCUUGUGUUGGGGUCCUGCGGCUGCCCGCAGGCCCUGAAAACCAGUGGCGGGCUCGCUAGUCACACCGAGCGCAGUAGCACAUCUCGCUCAGGGCGUGCGGCGGGCUCCAGCCGUUAAAGCACCCAACUUUCGCAAGGUUGACCUCGGAUCAGGUAGGAAUACCCGCUGAACUUAAGCAUAUCAAUAAGCGGAGGA